CCAUAGACGAAAAGUAAAACUCUCACGGAAAACACCGGGGUGUAUUAUUUAUAGCCAAUUGCUGUUACAUAAAAGGUAACUCAUUGGAGACACACGAAAACAUACAUAGUAAAAGUUUGAUGUAUAGAUAAGGCGUAGGGGGUUAACACAUAGAUUUUGAAAAAAAAUCAAAAAAAUAAAAAUUAUAUUUUAUUGCAUAGUUGCAUUCUUCACUAACAUAUGAUGAAGGUGAAAGAGGUUUCGAACCUUUGUUGUCUCCGUUUUCUAAAGAACUAGGUGUCUUCCUGCACCAUGUGUAAAAACUCUCACGGAAAACACCGGGGUGUAUUAUUUAUAGCCAAUUGCUGUUACAUAAAAGGUAACUCAUUGGAGACACACGAAAACAUACAUAGUAAAAGUUUGAUGUAUAGAUAAGGAGGUACAAGGAUACCAAAACCUUGAUACAACAAAAUUGUACGUAAGAUUUAUGAUGAGGAAAAAAGAAAGAAAGCAUAAUAGCGAUAUUCAAAUGACUUGCAUGGAUCAGUCACAAUUAUUUGUGCUUUAACUUCGGGUGAAGUGUACAUAUUCGUAAGGGCCAUUCAGUGAUGAUGUUGCGGGUCAGGUCCUCCCGGUGAAACCCUGUCCGAAUUCACUAGAAAUCUCCUCUCGUUAUGACCUUUGAACUUGGAGAGAUCAAACCCGAGCUCCCGUAGCAGAACAUGACUAUCCAUAGUGCCCAUGUUUGCAACUCGAUCAUCAUGGAGGAUUCGAGCCUGAGUACUAAAGAUUGGUGAUGCAAAUAUGACUAAGAGUAUGAUAAGAGUUUUCUUAAGAAUUAAAUUCGCCAUAACAGGUGAUUAAGGAGAAAAGGUAAAUUGUGGAGUUUGCGAGAGAUCGAGAAAGAGAUAUGCAAAAUGAGAUGAAGCUGAGAGAAUAUGAUGAUUUGUGUGCAAUGAGACUUUUCUAUUUAUAGAUAAAAUUAGAGAGGCAAAAUAUGAUGAAGAUGUUAAGGAUUGAGUAGGUUGGGUCAGUGGAGAGAACAUGAUGGGAUCCACAACAAAAAUGAAAGCCAAAUCUGAGUCAUAUUUUUGUAUUAUAAAACUCAUGCACGGACACACAAAAGCACUAAUUACGAUACAGGUUAUUCAACUGACCCAACGAUCGAACUUCUCAGGUGAACAUCUAUAUUUGAGGGACCAUUAGGAAUUUACUUUACAUGUAUGGUUGAUUAAGGAUUUAAAAAGUUGGACAUAAGUUUUUUUUUGCCAAAUAUGUGAAUGUCAUAUUAAAAUGAUGCUAGUUUGUAAUGUAGAACUAGUUAGAGUCAACUAAAGCAAAAAAGAAUUAAAACAAGUUUGAGUGCAAUGUAGACAGCCUCGUACGCAUGCCCGAGCCACGCGCAUUAGGUGAUCAAAAGCUUUGUUUUCUUGUGUCCAAGGAUAGCAUCAUGGUUGAAUCGAUCCAACUGCUUGAAAAUUCCUUCUGGUGACAGAGCAGUGCCAUUGCGUAGUCUUCUAUUUCGAUUUGCCCGCAAACUAUUAAGGUUUACUAUAGUAUAAUAUAAAAUGUCAACUAGUCCAGACCCAUGUACCAUGAAAGAGAGUUUAAUAUACAUUAAUACAAAUGUAGAAUGUGUUUAGCAAUUUUAAAACAACACUAAAAAUCAUAGACUUCAUUAUAUAGAAUAUUUACCGAAAAUUCAAUAUUUUCGUAGGGGUUAACACAUAGAUUUUGAGAAAAAUUCAAAAAAAUGAAAAUUCUAUUUUAAUGCAUAGUUGCAUCCUUCACUAACAAAUGAUGAAGGUCAAAGAGGUUUGAAACCAUUGUUGUCUCCGUAUUUCUAGAAAAUAGCAAUUUUAUAGUGGUUUAUCAACCAAUAUGGGAGUAUUAUGAAGUUUUACUAAAUUAACUGACAAAAAAUUUAAUCGAUACCCAUGUACCAUGAAAGAGAGUUUAAUAUACUUUAAUACAGAUUUAUAAUGUGUUUAGCAAUUUUAAAACAACACUAAAAAUCUUAGGCUUUGUCAGGUCCUCCCGGUGAAACCCUGUCCGAAUUCACUAGAAAUCUCCUCUCGUUAUGACCUUUGAACUUGGAGAGAUCAAACCCGAGCUCCCGUAGCAGAACAUGACUAUCCAUAGUGCCCA
RNAcentral lists this long non-coding RNA (2127 nucleotides) under Brassica napus (rape). RNAcentral describes it as "long non-coding RNA (BNAP_LNC004122)". Lineage: Eukaryota; Viridiplantae; Streptophyta; Magnoliopsida; Brassicales; Brassicaceae. The record is from RNAcentral.